UACGACUACAUAUCAGGCAUAUCAAUAAGCGGAGGAAAAGAAACUAACAAGGAUUCCCCUAGUAACGGCGAGUGAAGCGGGAAGAGCUCAAAUUUGAAAUCUUCAAGGUUCUACCUUGACGAAUUGUAGUUUAAAGAAGUGUUUUCGGUUAGAGGAGUAGUAAAAGUUCUUUGGAAUAGGACAUCAUAGAGGGUGAGAAUCCCGUAUUUGACCUGUUCUUUCUAGCUGUGUGAUACACUUUCAAAGAGUCGGAUUGUUUGGGAAUGCAGUCCAAAAUGGGUGGUAAAUUUCAUCUAAAGCUAAAUAUUGGCGAGAGACCGAUAGCGAACAAGUACCGUGAGGGAAAGAUGAAAAGAACUUUGAAAAGAGAGUUAAACAGUACGUGAAAUUGUCAAAAGGGAAGCGUUUGACACCAGUGUUGUUUCUACGAAAAUCAAUUUAUGAUGGCUUGAUGCUAAGCUUUAAGACUUUAUCCGCUUGUUGUUUAGUUUUCUUGUCUUUGUGAAUGCACUUUUCGUGGAACAAGUCAACAUCAAUUUCUUUUGCUGUAAAAGGGUAAGAGGAAGGUGGCUUCGGCUUCGGUUGAAGUGUUUAUAGCCUUUUAUCUCUGCAGUCGGAGAGAUUGAGGUCUGCAGCGUAGACUCUUCGGGGUUAGAUACGUCGGUGCUAAGCUAUAGCUUUUCAUAGACAACUUGUUGACUAUGUUUAGUCAUGUGGCUUACCCGCUGGCGCUGUUUUACCUACGCUUAGGAUGUUGACACACGCGCGUGCUCG
RNAcentral lists this ribosomal RNA (774 nucleotides) under uncultured Neocallimastigales. Its description in RNAcentral is "partial large subunit ribosomal RNA". It matches the Rfam family "Eukaryotic large subunit ribosomal RNA", at positions 24 to 643 of the family's 3401-position model. The record is from RNAcentral. Lineage: Eukaryota; Fungi; Neocallimastigomycota; Neocallimastigomycetes; Neocallimastigales.